This 492-nucleotide ribosomal RNA is filed under the name uncultured bacterium. Its description in RNAcentral is "partial 16S ribosomal RNA". It matches the Rfam family "Bacterial small subunit ribosomal RNA", at positions 29 to 507 of the family's 1533-position model. The record is from RNAcentral.
AGUGAACGCUGGCGGUAGGCCUAACACAUGCAAGUCGAACGGCAGCACAGUAAGAGCUUGCUCUUACGGGUGGCGAGUGGCGGACGGGUGAGGAAUACAUCGGAAUCUACUUUUUCGUGGGGGAUAACGUAGGGAAACUUACGCUAAUACCGCAUACGACCUACGGGUGAAAGCAGUGGAUCUUCGCACCUUGCGCGAUUGAAUGAGCCGAUGUCGGAUUAGCUAGUUGGCGGGGUAAAGGCCCACCAAGGCGACGAUCCGUAGCUGGUCUGAGAGGAUGAUCAGCCACACUGGAACUGAGACACGGUCCAGACUACUACGGGAGGCAGCAGUGGGGAAUAUUGGACAAUGGGCGCAAGCCUGAUCCAGCCAUACCGCGUGGGUGAAGAAGGCCUUCGGGUUGUAAAGCCCUUUUGUUGGGAAAGAAAAGCAGCAGGUUAAUACCCCGCUGUUCUGACGGUACCCAAAGAAUAAGCACCGGCUAACUUCGUG